This 253-nucleotide ribosomal RNA is filed under the name uncultured bacterium. Its description in RNAcentral is "partial 16S ribosomal RNA". It matches the Rfam family "Bacterial small subunit ribosomal RNA", at positions 524 to 776 of the family's 1533-position model. The record is from RNAcentral.
UACGGAGGGUGCGAGCGUUGUCCGGAAUCACUGGGCGUAAAGGGCGCGUAGGCGGCUUGGGAAGUCUGUGGUGAAAGCUCGUGGCUCAACUGCGAGUCGGCCAUAGAUACUCCUAAGCUCGAGUCGACUAGAGGCAGAUGGAAUUCCGGGUGUAGCGGUGGAAUGCGCAGAUAUCAGGAAGAACACCCGUGGCGAAGGCGGCUCUCUGGAACGCAACUGACGCUGAGACGCGAAAGCGUGGGGAGCAAACAGG